UAUAGCAACAGAGAAAAAUAUUGAGUGGAAUAAUACUGGCUCAACAUCAUAUAGCUGCAAAGUUUGUCUGAUCUAAAAUAAAACAAUUCAAUGCAAUCCCAUAAAGAAAUGCAAAUUUCAACCCUCAGAUUGAAAUUGCCCAAGAGAUUGAAGAUAUUGGCAAGCAUGCAAGGGCAGCAUUAUAAUAAUAAAAUCACCCCCUUUCUUUACUCAUUUGCCCACAUAAUCUCAAUAUUUGGGCAAGAAACCCUAAUGACAUGACAUGUUGGAGCUAAGUUGGGUUGACUCUCAUAUGAGACAGAAAUAAGAUGUGAGCUAAUUUUACAGUUGAUAAUAGAACACCGUCAUUUAUCAGACAAUAAGAAUGAACAGAGAAAUCCUAAAACAUGCUACAAUUUUCAUUCUUGGUAGCAUUGAAAGUUUAUGAAGAGAAAUAAGAUGUGAGCUAAUUUGACAGUUGAUAAUAGAACACCGUCAUAUAUCAGACAAAAAAAAAUGAACAGAGAAAUCCUAGAACAUGCUACGAUUUUCAUCCUAGGUAGCAUUGAAAGUUUAUGAAGAGAAAUGGCACGGUAUAAUAGUCUAACUGGAACAACUUCAUUCGAAGGAUUCAAAGCUUGAUAUCAUGAUCACUGCAUCACAAGGGAGUUGUGCACCUCACACUGAAACCCCAACAUAAUAAAAAUAUAUCUUCUGGACACUAUAAAACAUGAUUUAAAUGAAGUUUGAAAUAAUAGAGAGAAACUAUGUUUGUUUAUGAGCUUCAAGUCUAGAAACAGCAUUUUUCUUUCCACUGUCAAUUUAGAAUUGCUGGUGCAGGUAAUAGCAUUGCUUCCCCUUCACCUUUGAUGCAUGUCAGGCACAUAAGAGUUCCACUUGUUUACAACAUACAUACAUAUAUAUAUGUAUA
This is a long non-coding RNA of Populus euphratica (Euphrates poplar), 910 nucleotides long. RefSeq lists it as uncharacterized. NCBI's taxonomy places the organism in Eukaryota, Viridiplantae, Streptophyta, Magnoliopsida, Malpighiales, Salicaceae. The record is from RefSeq and is a predicted model, not a curated record. The transcript is spliced from 2 exons.